ACGAACGCUGGCGGCGUGCUUCACCCAUGCCAGUCGAACGGAAAGGCCCCUUUGGGGGUCCUCGAGUGGCGAACGGGUGAGUAACACGUGAGUAACCUGCCCUUGACUUCGGGAUAACUUCAGGAAACUGGGGCUAAUACCGGAUAGGAAUCCUUGCUGCAUGGUGGGGGUUGGAAAGCUUCGGCGGUUUUGGAUGGACUCGCGGCUUAUCAGCUUGUUGGUGGGGUAGUGGCUUACCAAGGCUUUGACGGGUAGCCGGCCUGAGAGGGCGACCGGCCACAUUGGGACUGAGAUACGGCCCAGACUCCUACGGGAGGCAGCAGUGGGGAAUAUUGCACAAGGGGCGGAAGCCUGAUGCAGCAACGCCGCGUGCGGGAUGACGGCCUUCGGGUUGUAAACCGCUUUCAGCAGGGGCGAAGCUUGUGGUGACGGUACCUGCAGAAGAAGCACCGGCUAACUACGUG
RNAcentral lists this ribosomal RNA (464 nucleotides) under uncultured bacterium. RNAcentral's name for it is "partial 16S ribosomal RNA". It matches the Rfam family "Bacterial small subunit ribosomal RNA", at positions 29 to 507 of the family's 1533-position model. The record is from RNAcentral.